UACGUAGGGUGCGAGCGUUGUCCGGAAUUACUGGGCGUAAAGCGUGCGCAGGCGGUGAUGUAAGACCGAUGUGAAAUCCCCGGGCUUAACCUGGGAACUGCAUUGGUGACUGCAUUGCUGGAGUAUGGCAGAGGGGGGUGGAAUUCCACGUGUAGCAGUGAAAUGCGUAGAGAUGUGGAGGAACACCGAUGGCGAAGGCAGCCCCCUGGGCCAAUACUGACGCUCAUGCACGAAAGCGUGGGGAGCAAACAGG
Molecule: ribosomal RNA, 253 nt
Filed under: uncultured bacterium
Lineage: Bacteria
Description: partial 16S ribosomal RNA
Rfam family: Bacterial small subunit ribosomal RNA
Source: RNAcentral